Long non-coding RNA from Colossoma macropomum (tambaqui), 2073 nucleotides. RefSeq lists it as uncharacterized. Lineage: Eukaryota; Metazoa; Chordata; Actinopteri; Characiformes; Serrasalmidae. The record is from RefSeq and is a predicted model, not a curated record. The transcript has 2 exons.
AUUGUUCACAACUAAGAACAAAUCCUAAAUAAGAAAACAUUGGUGAAUAUCAGUCUUCAUAAAUACUGUGUAAGUGGGUUUAAAGAAGUAGUGUCUUCAAAAGAACAGUUGGCAAAUGAGGCCCAUUGUCUGUUUAUUUGGCAGCCUCAGUUUAGAUGUUUAGUGUCGAACUGAACUGGAGCCGUUACUGGCUUAUUAACAUAUUGUUAUAAUUGAUAUUAGCUUAUUAUGUUUGGAGUUAAAACCAGGGUGAUGGUUAGAGCUGUAAAUAAAAUCACAGCAUAUAGUUUUUAGUGUUUUAGCUUAGUCAACCAAAAAAGUAGUUUCUGGCUUUUUGGUGCUUUCUGUGUGGUUUCUGUUGGUUUCUCCAACACUUACACCUGCUUAGGGGGAAGUGUAAAUGUUGAAUAACUACUAAGUUCUUCAUUAAGUGUAGUCAUCGUGUGGUGCAACCCGAUUUGAUUUAGUUAUGCAUUAACCUAAUUUGGUAAAAACGUUACAGCCAGCCUGCAGCUGGUGCAACCAGCCCCAGGUAUCUGUAUCAUUAGGGAGAAAGUGGUAUCAGUGCAUCCCUCCAUAUUAUAUACAAUCCCCUUAAAUGCCACUAAUGCUGAUUUUAUGAGAGUUGCUCAGUUGCACUGCUUCUCACCUGCUGGACAAAAACUGCUGAUCAAUUUUCCUUUCCUGCUUCAAAUCGAUCUCUCUGGAUCUUUUGAAUUUCUCCUAAGCACAUUCUGUCUUUGUUGAUCAGAUCUCCCCCUCUGCAGUGUGUGGUAAGUGAGUUGUGUUUCUGCUGCUGUCAUUUCCAGAGUGUGUACCUGUGUUUGGUAAGUGUUUGUCCCUCUGUAUCUGACUCAUCCAGGUAUCGGAGCGAGAGAGAGAGACGUUGCUAGCUUGAGGAACACACCAGAACUGUGUUCUUCUCCAGGGGCUCCUGCAACAAAGAGAAGCAUCUUCUCCUGCCACAGCUUCCAGUCUGGACUACAGUGGGUCCAGACCUUGUCCUUCAUGAGUUCCUGGGUUCUCAGCAAAGAGAGAGGAGAGUUAUCUGCAUUUAGCUGUGGAGCAGCUGUGCCCUACUCGGUGUGUCUGCCUGCUCUUUGCGCUAACCUGGGUCACACUGCAGCACUGCUGUCGCAAAUUCAGCAAAAGCCCAGAGAGUAGGUGCACAUCAUCGACAUUAAACUUCAGAGUUCAUGUUUGGCUCACUUUUAAUUUAAAAAACCAAAGAACCUACAUCCGUGAUUGAUUUCUUAUUAGGUUAAUGUUUGUGAAAACUUUGUUUUAUCCUCGCCAAUCACAGGCCCGUUGUAACUCGCUCCUCUCACAGCUUUCAAAAUUAUGCGUUCCUGUAAGAAUGGUCACACAAAUUUAUGGGCUAUUGGUCCAUUGAUUGGUCAUGCACAAAAUCAAAAGACCAAUAGAAAUGCAUGUUUACAAGAAGGUCUACAGUUGUGUGCCAAUGUUUAUGCACUCCUGGUCAAAUAGCAUGGUUUGAUGAUUUUGUGAGAAAGUCAAAAGAAGUUGCCCCAACAUCUGCAUGGAACAAACUAAUUAUUAAACUAAAACAUCUUUCUAUGAGUUUUAAAGCACAGUUAGCAUUUAUUUGCUGAAUAUAUAGAAAGAAACUCAAGCAAAAUGCGCCAUGGCUCAGUUAGGCUUAUGACUGCAGAUCUGAAACCAAACAUAAUUGACACAAAGCAAGAGAAGACAAUAAAAGACGUCAUUAGUAAUUGGAAGUUAAAGGGAACUGUUUAAAACAGGAUAAGAUUUGAAAGACCAAGAAAAACCUCUGAAAAAAUACUUGUAGACUGGUCAAGCAUGCAAAGCAAAACCCCCACACCGCUGCCAAGGGCCUACAGGAAGAUUUGGCUGGCACAGGACUAGUAAUGCACUGUGCAGUGUCAUUAGACAAACAUCAUCUACAUCAAAGGGCCAUGAGAAGGAAACCUCAACUGUGAUCUCAUUAUAAAAGUCAAUGUCUGAAGUUUACAACACACCACUUAUAUAAACGAGAGGCAUUUUGGAUUAAAGUGUUGUGGUCUGAUGAAAAAAAAUAAAUAAAUAUUUGGA